UGACAUGAGUUUGUGUAUGUGCAGAAUAAACAAAACAAAAAUUCCAUUAAAAUCAUAUGAAACAGGAAAACCCCCCAUAAAUAAACUUUCAAAAGAAAUAAAGGGUUUAGAUCUUUCUUACUCCGUUACAGCAACCAAAAAUAAACUGAAAAAGAAAUUAAAAGAAAAUCAAAGACUCACCUUUUAAAAAAAUAAGUAAAAUCCACCGAUCCAGUAAAACUGAUACUAUACUAGGGAUAUGGUUUUGAACCACAAAACCGCUAUGGAAUAAACGAGCGGUUUUCCUGUGGCGCAGGUUUUGGGAAAACGAAAGAGAAAAAAAUGAAGAAAGAGCUGCGCGAGAGUAUAAUAGGAUUGUGGCAAAGGUUUUGGGAAAACGAAAGAGAAAGAAUGAAGAAAGAGCUGCGAGAGAGAGUAUAAUAGGAGGCGUGGAGUGUAAAGGUACUGUGACUAAAACCCUUAAUUCUGAUCUAACGGUUUCUAUUUGUUCCUUGUUUUGGUGUGAAUAGGUCAUCUGCCGUUAAUAUUAUAGUCAAUGGAUGGUACUACAGAUUCUUGUUAUUGCCUAUUUGAAUGGUGGAAGAGCACUAUUAUUGGGAGAGUCCAAUUUUUUAUUUUAUAUAAAAAUAAAUAUCUAUUGAUUUUUUGGAUAUUGAGAAGAUAUUUUAUGGCAAUUGCAAUAUUAUUAGUUAUA
This 694-nucleotide long non-coding RNA is filed under the name Nicotiana benthamiana. RNAcentral's name for it is "long non-coding RNA (NBEN_LNC010538)". Lineage: Eukaryota; Viridiplantae; Streptophyta; Magnoliopsida; Solanales; Solanaceae. The record is from RNAcentral.